RNAcentral lists this ribosomal RNA (498 nucleotides) under uncultured bacterium. RNAcentral describes it as "bacterial SSU rRNA". It matches the Rfam family "Bacterial small subunit ribosomal RNA", at positions 28 to 523 of the family's 1533-position model. The record is from RNAcentral.
GAUGAACGCUAGCGGCAGGCUUAAUACAUGCAAGUCGAGGGGCAGCGCGGGUAGCAAUACCUGGCGGCGACCGGCAAACGGGUGCGGAACACGUACGCAACCUUCCUUUAAGUGGAGAAUAGCCCGGGGAAACCCGGAUUAAUACUCCGUAAUAUUAUGAAGUGGCAUCACUUUAUAAUUAUAGAUUUAUCGCUUAAAGAUGGGCGUGCGCCUGAUUAGGUAGUUGGCGGGGUAAUGGCCCACCAAGCCUUCGAUCAGUAACUGGUGUGAGAGCACGACCAGUCACACGGGCACUGAGACACGGGCCCGACUCCUACGGGAGGCAGCAGUAAGGAAUAUUGGUCAAUGGACGCAAGUCUGAACCAGCCAUGCCGCGUGAAGGAUGAAGGUCCUCUGGAUUGUAAACUUCUUUUAUAGGGGACGAAACCCGGGAUUCUUCCCGAUUGACGGUACCCUAGGAAUAAGCACCGGCUAACUCCGUGCCAGCCGCCGCAGUAA